GCUUACGGCCAUACCAGCCUGGGUACGCCCGAUCUCGUCUGAUCUCGGAAGCUAAGCAGGGUCGGGCCUUGUUAGUACUUGGAUGGGAGACCGCCUGGGAAUACCAGGUGCUGUAAGCA
Molecule: ribosomal RNA, 119 nt
Filed under: Salmo salar (Atlantic salmon)
Lineage: Eukaryota; Metazoa; Chordata; Actinopteri; Salmoniformes; Salmonidae
Source: RNAcentral